RNAcentral lists this long non-coding RNA (1116 nucleotides) under Salmo salar (Atlantic salmon). Its description in RNAcentral is "lncRNA (ENSSSAG00000118263.1)". The record is from RNAcentral. Lineage: Eukaryota; Metazoa; Chordata; Actinopteri; Salmoniformes; Salmonidae.
CAUGUGUGGUGUGUUUGUAUUAAUCUGAUAGUGGUAUGUACAGCCACGACCAAAAUGAUUGGCACCCUUGACAAAUACUGAGCUAUAUUGUAUGCUACAAAAGACGGGAUGUACAUUGUACAUGUGGUUUCACAUAAAGACGUGUGCUUGCUAUUUUAAGAGCUCUCAGAGCAACAGAUAUAGAUACAUAUAUUAUAUUUAAGAUAUAGCAAUAGAUUGUUGUGGAGACAUUUUGAAAAUGGCCUGAAGUAAGAGUGACAGUAAGAUUGAUUGAUUGGAUGCUUCGUAAGCGCUUUAGGAGUAGUAUUAACAUGAGACACAGUGAUGGUGGGUUAUGUUUAGGAGUAGUAUUAACAUGAGACAGUGACGGUGGGUUGUGUUUAGGAGUAGAAUUAACAUGAGACACAGUGAUGGUGGGUUGUGUUUAGGAGUAGUAUUAACAUGAGACAGUGACGGUGGGUUGUGUUUAGGAGUAGUAUUAACAUGAGACACAGUGAUGGUGGGUUGUGUUUAGAAGUAGUAUUAACAUGAGACACAGUGAUGGUGGGUUGUGUUUAGGAGUAGUAUUAACAUGAGACACAGUGAUGGUGGGUUGUGUUUAGGAGUAGUAUUAAAAUGAGACGCAGUAAUGAUGGGUUGUGUUUAGGAGUAGUAUUAACAUGAGACACAGUGACGGUGGGUUGUGUUUAGGAGUAGUAUUAACAUGAGACACAGUGAUGGUGGGUUGUGUUUAGGAGUAGUAUUAACAUGAGACACAGUGAUGGUGGGUUGUGUUUAGGAGUAGUAUUAACAUGAGACACAGUGAUGGUGGGUUGUGUUUAGGAGUAGUAUUAACAUGAGACACAGUGAUGGUGGGUUGUGUUUAGGAGUAGUAUUAACAUGAGACACAGUGAUGGUGGGUUGUGUUUAGGAGUAGUAUUAAAAAGAGACGCAGUGAUGGUGGGUUGUGUUUAGGAGUAGUAUUAACAUGAGACACAGUGAUGGUGGGUUGUGUUUAGGAGUAGUAUUAACAUGAGACACAGUGAUGGUGGGUUGUGUUUAGGAGUAGUGUUAACAUGAGACACAGUGAUGGUGGGUUGUGUUUAGGAGUAGUAUUAACAUGAGACGCAGUGAUGG